Molecule: small RNA, 120 nt
Filed under: human oral metagenome
Description: Ribosomal protein L10 leader
Rfam family: Ribosomal protein L10 leader
About the family: This family is a putative r-protein leader autoregulatory structure found in B. subtilis and other low-GC Gram-positive bacteria. It is located in the 5' untranslated regions of mRNAs encoding ribosomal proteins L10 and L12 (rplJ-rplL). A Rho-independent transcription terminator structure that is probably involved in regulation is included at the 3' end.
Source: RNAcentral
AACAGUAUUGACUGCCUAAGACAGUAGGUGCCUAUGGGCAUAACAGAGAUGGCCUACCGAGGAAAGUAUAUAUUCACUGAGUGAAUUCUGCCCUCUUGUCGAAAGCAAGAGGGCUUUUUU